This 208-nucleotide ribosomal RNA is filed under the name uncultured bacterium. Its description in RNAcentral is "partial 16S ribosomal RNA". It matches the Rfam family "Bacterial small subunit ribosomal RNA", at positions 568 to 774 of the family's 1533-position model. The record is from RNAcentral.
CGCGUAGGCGGGAUGGCAAGUCAGUCGUGAAAUCUCUCGGCUCAACCCGAGAAACGUCGGCUGAUACUGCCGUUCUUGAGGGAUGCAGAGGAGACUGGAAUUCCCGGUGUAGCGGUGAAAUGUGUAGAGAUCGGGAGGAACACCGGUGGCGAAGGCGGGUCUCUGGGCAUUUCCUGACGCUGAGGCGCGAAAGCGUGGGGAGCAAACG